CGGGAAUUUUGGGCAAUGGGCGAAAGCCUGACCCAGCAACGCCGCGUGAGGGAUGAAGUAUUUCGGUAUGUAAACCUCGAAAGAAUGGGAAGAAUAAAUGACGGUACCAUUUAUAAGCUCCGGCUAACUACGUGCCAGCAGCCGCGGUAAUACGUAGGGAGCAAGCGUUGUUCGGAUUUACUGGGCGUAAAGGGCGCGUAGGCGGCGCGGUAAGUCACUUGUGAAAUCUCUGAGCUUAACUCAGAACGGCCAAGUGAUACUGCUGUGCUAGAGUGCGGAAGAGGCAACCGGAAUUCUUGGUGUAUCGGUGAAAUGCGUAGAUAUCAAGAGGAACACCUGAGGCGAAGGCGGGUUGCUGGGCCGACACUGACGCUGAUGCGCGAAAGCCAGGGGAGCAAACG
RNAcentral lists this ribosomal RNA (401 nucleotides) under uncultured bacterium. RNAcentral's name for it is "bacterial SSU rRNA". It matches the Rfam family "Bacterial small subunit ribosomal RNA", at positions 356 to 774 of the family's 1533-position model. The record is from RNAcentral.